Pelobates cultripes (western spadefoot toad) is the source of this 304-nucleotide non-coding RNA. The record is from the annotation of a GenBank genome assembly. Lineage: Eukaryota; Metazoa; Chordata; Amphibia; Anura; Pelobatidae.
GGUGACUAGUGACAGGGGGGGUGACUAGUGAGGGAGGGGGUGACUAGUGACAGAAUGAGGGAGAGGAUGACUAGUAACAGAGGGAGGGAGAUGGUGACUAGUGACAGAGGUGGUAACUGUCACUAGUCACCCCAUCCCUCCCUCUGUCACUAGUCAUCCCCUCCCUAACUGUCACUAGUCAUCCCCUCACUCUGUCACUAUUCACCCCAUCCCUCCCUCUGUCACUAAUCACCACCUCCCUCACUCUGUCACUAGUCACCCCUUCCCUCCCUCGCUCUGUCACUAGUCACCCUCUCUCUGUGCC